RNAcentral lists this ribosomal RNA (144 nucleotides) under uncultured bacterium. RNAcentral describes it as "partial 16S ribosomal RNA". It matches the Rfam family "Bacterial small subunit ribosomal RNA", at positions 332 to 475 of the family's 1533-position model. The record is from RNAcentral.
UCCUUUCCUACGGGAGGCAGCAGUGAGGAAUCUUGGGCAAUGCCCCCAAGGCUGACCCAGCAACGCCGCGUGGAGGACGAAGGCGGUAUGGUUGUAAAUUCCUGUUAGAGGAGAAGAAUAGUGCCGAUGGAUCGGUAGUGACGU